Scophthalmus maximus (turbot) is the source of this 927-nucleotide long non-coding RNA. RefSeq lists it as uncharacterized. NCBI's taxonomy places the organism in Eukaryota, Metazoa, Chordata, Actinopteri, Pleuronectiformes, Scophthalmidae. The record is from RefSeq and is a predicted model, not a curated record. The transcript has 4 exons.
CCUCUCUCCAGGCAUUCCCUGCAGGCCGGGGGGUCCCUGAGGUCCAGCAGCACCGGAUGGUCCAAUGGCUCCCUGAGUUACAGGUUCACUUCUGGCCAAGAAAUUCUAAUAAUACCCAAAGAUGCAAAAGAAAAUUUUAAUGAGAAGACAGAAAGAAAAAAAACUAAGGGAGCUACGUCCACCUUGAAGAGAGAGAUGAUGAUGAUCAAGAUAAACCACAAUAAAAACCAGUCGACUGCAUAAAAUCUUCAGAGCUGCACCUGCAGAACACUGAAGAGCUGCGGUGGUGCAGCGGAGACUAAAUGUGAAUCUUAAGUCUUGUAUAAGACGGAUCCACUGACCUUGGGUCCAUCGGUUCCAGGUGUUCCAGGAAGUCCACGGGGUCCCUGGAGACCCUGAGCUCCAGCACCGCCCCUCUCGCCAGGGAAUCCACGCUCGCCCUGUUAGGGAAAACAAAAAAGACACUGGCUCAGCAGGAGACACAGGAAGUGGUCACAGACGAGGCUCUGUGAUCUGAGGAACAGGAAGUGCUUGUGUGAAUGAAUUAGCAUAAUAUCUAUUUGAAGACUGAAGAUGGAAACUCACUCUGGGUCCAACAGCACCAGGAGCUCCGCCCUCUCCAGAAACACCCUGCAGAGAGAAAACAGACGCUGAGUUUAAUACCAGUGACUUUACAUAAAGACAAACAACUCAUUUUCAUUUUUUCCCACGAUAAGAAAAGAAACUCACCUGGAAGCCAGAAGGUCCAGGCUGACCUUGCUCUCCUCUCUCUCCCGCGGGUCCCUGUGUGACAGACACAGAUGAUCAGCUCAGCGGCAAAAGACGAGUGACUUUCCUCAGUGAACCUGACACAUCUCACAACAUAGUUCACCCUGUUGAAGAAGAAUCACAUUAAAAUGGCUGUAUCUCUCUGAGUGGAUUUAUGAG